RNAcentral lists this ribosomal RNA (274 nucleotides) under uncultured bacterium. RNAcentral describes it as "partial 16S ribosomal RNA". It matches the Rfam family "Bacterial small subunit ribosomal RNA", at positions 523 to 796 of the family's 1533-position model. The record is from RNAcentral.
ACACGGGGGGGGCGAGCGUUAUUCGGAAUUACUGGGCGUAAAGGGCGCGUAGGCGGUCCGUUAAGUGUGAAGUGAAAUGCCUGGGCUCAACUUGGGAAGUGCUUUGCAUACUGGUGGACUUGAGUCCAAGAGGGGGUGGUGGAAUUCCUGGUGUAGGGGUGAAAUCCGUAGAUAUCAGGAGGAACACCGUUGGCGAAGGCGGCCACCUGGACUGGUACUGACGCUGAGGCGCGAAAGCGUGGGGAGCGAACAGGAUUAGAAACCCGGGUAGUCC